Cucurbita maxima (winter squash) is the source of this 3632-nucleotide long non-coding RNA. RefSeq lists it as uncharacterized. The record is from RefSeq and is a predicted model, not a curated record. The transcript has 2 exons. NCBI's taxonomy places the organism in Eukaryota, Viridiplantae, Streptophyta, Magnoliopsida, Cucurbitales, Cucurbitaceae.
CCCCACUUUGUACUGCUGAACCAUACGACACUAUUGAUGAUUGUAGUUUCAAGGUUUAGAUAUUAAUGAUAUUUUCUGUUUCCUAUCAAUAGAAAAAAAAGGUUUAGGAUUAUUUUUUACUAUGUGAUUCCUUUUACAAUUAAUGGUAGCAUGUUUGUGUUAAAAUAACACAAAAUAUGAACCUAUUCUAAUUCAAUAAAGACAUCUUUUGGGCUUUGCUUUUCUUUUAAAACUGUAAUGUGAUAGAGUAAGGAAGCACAAUCUAUUACUGUAGAACUAAUGGGGAGGGGAAGAGUUAAAGAAUUACUUGAGGUUCAAUUCAAAAAAGAUUCUUCUGUGGAAAGCCUCCAAAGUUAGUUAUUUAUUGUCCGAUCAGUCUGAUUUCUUCUCUUUAUAAAAUUAUUGCCAAAGCUCUUGCUUAGAGGUUGAAGAAGGUUCUCCCUUCCACCAUAAGCGAUUGUCAAACAACCUUUGCAGUGGGUAUCCUAGAUGCCAUUCUUGUAGCUUCAGAAGUGGUUGAAGAUUUGGACGUUAAGUAAUAAUAGGGGUAUGUUUUGAAGUUGGACCUUGAAAAGGCUUAGGACAAAGUCGAUUGGCACUUCCUUGAUGUUGUUCUGAAGCUAAAAGGCUUUGAUAGCUUGUGGAGAAAACGGAUAAGAGGUGGUUUCUACUGAAAAUUUCUCUGUUUUGAUUAAUGGUGAGCCUAGGGGAAAGAUUUCAGCGGUAAGAGGUUUGAGGCAAGGCCAUCCUUUGCCCCCCCUCCCUCUCUCUUUCUAUCAUCAGGGAGGCUCUCAGCUCUCAGCUGAGUGUUGCAUGAUUGUCAGGAAAGCAGAAUCUUAAAAGCUUUCCAAGUUGAGGAAGCUAUGGUCAAUAUGUCGCAUCUCCAGAACACUGAUGACAUGGUUGAGCCUUUAUGUGGAAUGGAAUACUUUCCCGCAUUGAUUGGGGUGUUGGGUGUGGGCUCGCUAUAUUGUCGAAAUAUGUCUUUGCUAGUGGCUCUGGAGAUUCAUGCAAGAAGAAAAUCCCCUCUGGAAGAAGGUAAUCCCUACAUUUAUGGAGCUAAUACUCACAGUUGAAUGAUGAGAAGAGAAAGGUAGCAGAUCUUCGGUCGACGUUGCCAAAAGUUUGCUGCUCUUUGUUUUUUUUUUACUUAAUUUAAAGUUGAUGCAGGUGUUCAAAUCCAUUUUUGGAAGAUAGUUUGGUUGACCAAGAUACAUUACAGAAUUGCUUUCCAGAUUUUUCUGUGAUUUCUAGCAAAAAAGGUGCUUCUAUUUCUGAGUGUUGGGACAACAACAAAAAAGUUGGAAUUUGGGCCACACAUGGGGUCUCUUUGACAGGGAACUAAAUAGUUGGGGUGAUAAUAGAAAAUUUGACUUCGGUUCAGUGAGUUGGAGGGCCUGAUCGAGCCUUUUGGCCCCUUGAGGGCUAAGGUUGUUAUUCUUUGAAGUCAGCCUGCAUAUGCGUUGCUAAAAAUACUAGAAAGGUAAAAUCCCCUUGACCGCGUUGGUUUGGAGAAUGGACGCAGAAAGUAGAACUUUUCGGUCCUUUGGCAUUUAGAAGCCUUGAUACUGACGAGAUGAUUGAGAAAAAAGGUUUUAAGUCUUGGGCUCUUUCUCAGUGCUUUGGCAUUUAGAAGCCUUGAUGAUUGGCUUGUGGAAGGCAUAAGUGCUUUGAAUUUGUCAAGCAAAGCUAGGAUUUUGGGUUGCUAUGCUAUGAUAGAUCCUUUGUGGUAGAUUUGGCUCGAAAUCUAUAUUUUCAAGAUAAGUUUCCUAAUUUUGAUUCUUUUUGUAUUCUUUACGGUUCUUGAUGGGCCUCUUUACAUUCAAAGUUCUUUUAUCAGCUAUUGGAAACCGCUUGUUAAGUAGUUCCCCUGGACGGAAUUUCCUCUUCCCUUAGUAAUGUUGUCUUUUAUUGUCUUUUUACCUUCCCUUACUUGUGUGUUUCUAUCUAUAUGUAUAUAUAUAGUGAAUGGAAUAGAGUAUUCUGAUUCUCUCAAACCUUUAGCAUUUACAUGGCAAUAGAGAGCCAGGUUAAUUGGAUUUUUUUUUGUUAACCUAGGGAUUUUUUUUUUUUUUUUUUUUUUUUUUUUUUUUUUUUUUUUUUUUUUUUUUUUUUUUUGUUAACCUAUGGUUUUGUGAACCUUAGAUUUUGGAGUUUGGGUCAGAGAUUUCUGUCUACACAUGUUGUAUCUGUGCAUCUACUCCUGAUAACUUCGAAAAUUUCAUUACGAUUUCUGCAGAGGAGUUUGCAAUUUCAACCAUAUCAAGUGUCAUUAUUGACAUUAUAUUCUACUCCAGUUACUGCUAUCGCAAAGACUAACGCUUCUAUAUGCCUUCUUCCUCCACUUUGAAAUGAGCCAUUGACUUUGGUGCUACCAAUCAUAUGACAGGCAAUCCCAAUUUAUUCCUUUUUUAAAAUUUUUUUGUCUACCUUUUCACCUAAUGUUACCAUAGAUGAAAAAACUACAUCUCCAGUUUGGGUCUGACGCAAUGAAUCUUACCAAAUCAAUUUCAUUGUCGUUUGGUUUAAAUUUACCACAGUUAUCUUUUGAUCUCUAUUAGUAAAUUCGCUUGCAAUCUUAAUUCUUGCAUCUUAUUCAUUCCUGGUCAUUGCUUAAUGCUUAGUUUAGGAUCUUACAACGAAGAAGACUAUUGGUAGUGGGCGUGAAUUUGAAGGUCUCUCCAUCUUUAAACCACAAGUAUCUAUAGCCAUCAUAUGCUCUAGAGUGUCCAUUUAGCCGCCAUCACAUGCUCUAAGUGCCUCCUUCCUUCGAAGAAUAUUUCCAUUUGGGUCAUUUGUCUAUCUCAAUAUUGAAGACUCUUGUCCUCAAUUUUAUGAUUUGUGAAUGAAAAAAAACGGAUUUGUCUGCGGUAUGGUCCGCUCAACAAAGGAUCAUAUGUUUUUGGUAAAUAGUCGUUUUUAGUUUCGUUAGAUUGUGUCAUGUUAGUUUGCUAAGUUUUAACAUAUGAGUUUGUAUCCAAGAUUCAAUACAUGAGCUAGUGCUCUUAUUGAGUCAUAGAGGGUUUCAGUAUUUUUUUUUACCUUUGUUGACGAUUAUUCUCAUUUACUUGGUUAUUUUUAAUGAAAACCCCAUUCUAAGUUAAUUUCUUAUUUUCAUAACAUUCAUCGGUAAAUUCGAAAUCAACCAGUUCUUUUAAAGUCCUAUGGAGUGUAAUGCUAAGAAAUAUUUCUAAAAAAGAGAUACUCCUUAUACAGUUAAUUUUGUAACUAAGGGUAUUCAUGACACCCAACGUUUGCCGUUGAAUGAAAAGUUAACUCAAGAAAUGAGACAAAUGAGUUGGCUCGAUUGGAGGGGUUCAACAACAUUUUCUUGAUUAGAGGCAGUGUCUUGAGCAGCAUCCCAAAUCUCUUUGAUAGUUGAAAGUAGGAGAAAAUUAUCUCUAAUCUUAGUGCUCAUGGAGUUGAUUAACUAGCUCAUAACUUGAUUGUUCUUGUGGAACCUUGAGUUUGGGUUAAGAUGCUUUACCUGUGCGUACAUGAACAUCAUCACAGAUUGUGAACUCUGAAGGUAGUUGUGGCCUUUGAGUUUGUGGCAUGUUAUUUGCAUACUGUUGUUCUCAGUGAAGGGAAAAUGAUAUUUUGCGAUUCUGAUCCUAACAAGAUUUAAAAGA